Non-coding RNA from Clostridium sp., 128 nucleotides. NCBI's taxonomy places the organism in Bacteria, Bacillati, Bacillota, Clostridia, Eubacteriales, Clostridiaceae. The record is from Rfam.
UGCUAUUAUUAGCCUAAGUUUAUUAAAACACGGGGAAACCAAAUUUUGGGGUGAAUCGUAAUAUUAUUACGUAGGUUAUGCCUUUUCCGAACCCGUCAGCUAACCCCGUAGGCAAAAGGAGUGAAAAA